Molecule: ribosomal RNA, 445 nt
Filed under: Gallus gallus (chicken)
Lineage: Eukaryota; Metazoa; Chordata; Aves; Galliformes; Phasianidae
Description: partial small subunit ribosomal RNA
Rfam family: Bacterial small subunit ribosomal RNA
Source: RNAcentral
CAAACUGGGAUUAGAUACCCCACUAUGCCUAGCCCUAAAUCUAGAUACCUCCCAUCACACAUGUAUCCGCCUGAGAACUACGAGCACAAACGCUUAAAACUCUAAGGACUUGGCGGUGCCCCAAACCCACCUAGAGGAGCCUGUUCUAUAAUCGAUAAUCCACGAUUCACCCAACCACCCCUUGCCAGCACAGCCUACAUACCGCCGUCGCCAGCCCACCUCUAAUGAAAGAACAACAGUGAGCUCAAUAGCCCCUCGCUAAUAAGACAGGUCAAGGUAUAGCCUAUGGGGUGGGAGAAAUGGGCUACAUUUUCUAACAUAGAACAAACGAAAAAGGACGUGAAACCCGCCCUUAGAAGGAGGAUUUAGCAGUAAAGUGAGAUCAUACCCCCUAAGCUCACUUUAAGACGGCUCUGAGGCACGUACACACCGCCGGUCACCCUCA